ACGAACGCUGGCGGCAUGCCUAACCCAUGCAAGUCGAACGAGACCUUCGGGUCUAGUGGCGCACGGGUGCGUAACGCGGGGGAACCUGCCCUUAGGUUCGGAAUAACUCCCCGAAAGGGGUGCUAAUACCGGAUAAUGUCUUCGGACCAAAGAUUUAUCGCCUUUGGAUGGGCCCGCGUUGGAUUAGCUAGUUGGUAGGGUAAAAGCCUACCAAGGCGACGAUCCAUAGCUGGUCUGAGAGGAUGAUCAGCCACACUGGGACUGAGACACGGCCCAGACUCCUACGGGAGGCAGCAGUGGGGAAUAUUGGACAAUGGGCGAAAGCCUGAUCCAGCAAUGCCGCGUGAGUGAUGAAGGCCUUAGGGUUGUAAAGCUCUUUUACCCGGGAUGAUAAUGACAGUACCGGGAGAAUAAGCUCCGGCUAACUCCGUG
RNAcentral lists this ribosomal RNA (432 nucleotides) under uncultured bacterium. Its description in RNAcentral is "partial 16S ribosomal RNA". It matches the Rfam family "Bacterial small subunit ribosomal RNA", at positions 29 to 507 of the family's 1533-position model. The record is from RNAcentral.